AACGUAGGUGGCAAGCGUUAUCCGGAUUUACUGGGCGUAAAGGGUGUGCAGGCGGGGGUGUAAGGGGGGUAUGAAAUCUCCAGGCUUAACCUGGAGGGGUUAUGCCAGACUGCAGUUCUAGAGGACGAGAGAGGGGGGUGGAAUUCCGGGUGUAGUGGUGAAAUGCGUAGAGAUCCGGAGGAACCCCAGAGGCGAAGGCGGCCCCCUGGCUCGUACCUGACGCUCAGCCACGAAAGCAUGGGGAGCGAACGGG
Molecule: ribosomal RNA, 253 nt
Filed under: uncultured bacterium
Lineage: Bacteria
Description: partial 16S ribosomal RNA
Rfam family: Bacterial small subunit ribosomal RNA
Source: RNAcentral